Molecule: long non-coding RNA, 241 nt
Filed under: Selaginella moellendorffii
Lineage: Eukaryota; Viridiplantae; Streptophyta; Lycopodiopsida; Selaginellales; Selaginellaceae
Description: long non-coding RNA (SMOE_LNC000594)
Source: RNAcentral
GACGUCGAGCUAGAUCGACAUGGUGUUCGUCCGGCUUGACAUCAUUGUGACCGAGUGGAGGAGUGGCGAGGCGAAGCAGGUGGCUUCAAGCUCCGCGGUGGAGUCACCUGGGAGGUGGACGGCCCAAGAGCAGCGCCGGGCGUUCGCGCUCAUAGUUUCACUAGUUUCUUCGAGAGUGCGCUCUCAAUGUUGUUUUGAUCCCUUUGGGAUUGGGGUAAUGUACAUAUAUGUUUAGCGAAAA